CAGCCGCCGCGGUAAUACGUAGGUGGCAAGCGUUGUCCGGAAUUAUUGGGCGUAAAGCGCGCGCAGGCGGUUUCUUAAGUCUGAUGUGAAAGCCCCCGGCUUAACCGGGGAGGGUCAUUGGAAACUGGGAGACUUGAGUGCAGGAGAGGGAAGCGGAAUUCCAUGUGUAGCGGUGAAAUGCGUAGAGAUAUGGAGGAACACCAGUGGCGAAGGCGGCUUCCUGGCCUGUAACUGACGCUGAGGCGCGAAAGCGUGGGGAGCAAACAGGAUUAGAUGCCCUGUUAGUCCACGCCGUAAACGAUGAGUGCUAAGUGUUAGGGGGUUUCCACCCCUUAGUGCUGCAGCUAACGCAUUAAGCACUCCGCCUGGGGAGUACGGUCGCAAGACUGAAACUUAAAGGAAUUGGCGGG
This 410-nucleotide ribosomal RNA is filed under the name uncultured microorganism. RNAcentral's name for it is "bacterial SSU rRNA". It matches the Rfam family "Bacterial small subunit ribosomal RNA", at positions 509 to 917 of the family's 1533-position model. The record is from RNAcentral.